Molecule: ribosomal RNA, 851 nt
Filed under: uncultured bacterium
Lineage: Bacteria
Description: bacterial SSU rRNA
Rfam family: Bacterial small subunit ribosomal RNA
Source: RNAcentral
ACACAUGCAGUCGAGCGGGGAGAUGUAGCUAGCUACAUUUCCUAGCGGCGGACGGGUGAGUAAAGCUUAGGAAUCUGCCUAUUAGUGGGGGGCAACAUUCCGAAAGGAAUGCUAAUACCGCAUACGCCCUACGGGGGAAAGCAGGGGAUCUUCGGACCUUGCGCUAAUAGAUGAGCCUAAGUCAGAUUAGCUAGUUGGUGGGGUAAAGGCCUACCAAGGCGACGAUCUGUAGCGGGUCUGGGAGGAUGAUCCGCCACACUGGGACUGAGACACGGCCCAGACUCCUACGGGAGGCAGCAGUGGGGAAUAUUGGACAAUGGGCGAAAGCCUGAUCCAGCCAUGCCGCGUGUGUGAAGAAGGCCUUUUGGUUGUAAAGCACUUUAAGCGAGGAGGAGGCUACUUAGAUUAAUACUCUAGGAUAGUGGACGUUACUCGCAGAAUAAGCACCGGCUAACUCUGUGCCAGCAGCCGCGGUAAUACAGAGGGUGCGAGCGUUAAUCGGAUUUACUGGGCGUAAAGCGUGCGUAGGCGGCUUUUUAAGUCGGAUGUGAAAUCCCUGAGCUUAACUUAGGAAUUGCAUUCGAUACUGGGAAGCUAGAGUAUGGGAGAGGAUGGUAGAAUUCCAGGUGUAGCGGUGAAAUGCGUAGAGAUCUGGAGGAAUACCGAUGGCGAAGGCAGCCAUCUGGCCUAAUACUGAAGCUGAGGUACGAAAGCAUGGGGAGCAAACAGGAUUAGAUACCCUGGUAGUCCAUGCCGUAAACGAUGUCUACUAGCCGUUGGGGCCUUUGAGGCUUUAGUGGCGCAGCUAACGCGAUAAGUAGACCGCCUGGGGGAGUACGGUCGCAAGACUA